RNAcentral lists this transfer RNA (71 nucleotides) under Ictidomys tridecemlineatus (thirteen-lined ground squirrel). Its description in RNAcentral is "Spermophilus tridecemlineatus (thirteen-lined ground squirrel) tRNA". It matches the Rfam family "tRNA". From Rfam's summary of the family: Transfer RNA (tRNA) molecules are approximately 80 nucleotides in length. Their secondary structure includes four short double-helical elements and three loops (D, anti-codon, and T loops). Lineage: Eukaryota; Metazoa; Chordata; Mammalia; Rodentia; Sciuridae. The record is from Rfam by way of RNAcentral.
GGGGAUGUAGCUCAGUGGUAAGGCAUGUGUUUAGUAUGCAUAAGACUCUGGGUUUGUUCCCAGCAACACAA